AAAUUUACUGAAAGCCACCAGAGGAAAACAAUGCAUCACCUACAGGCAAUCAGUGAACCAAGUGACUGCACAUUACUCAUCAGAAUACCACAGAUGCUUGAAGAGAGUGUCACAACGUUUUUGAAGCCCUGAAAGUAAAGAAGUGCUAACCUAGAACUCUAUAUCCAGCGUAGAAAUCCUUCAGCAAUGAGGGUAAAAUAAAGAUAUUCUUAGUAAAGAACAACUAACAGCAGAGUUGCUCUAAUUUUUUUUUUUUUUUUUUUUUUUUUGCCAAAGGAAACACUUCAACAGAAGUGAAAUGACUCCAGAAGGAAAAAUUGGAACAUCAGCAAUGGAGGGAAAGCAACAGAAAUAAACAAAGUGAGCUUUGUACAUUUGCUGGUGCCGUUUGUGGCAGAGGACUUUCUCGGAUUGCUCUGGAAUGAUGAAGAGGGUGUCUCUCGUCCAAGAACUGAAAUGAUACCUUCAGGUACUCGAAAUUCCAAAGGGUUCACAUGGAAUCACAAGUCAGCUGAAGGCUAACCGGUUACUUAUGUGCCCUAACCUUGAGACAAAAGCGUCAGCACGGGACAUGAUGCUCAAAUUAUUCCUUUACAUCCUGUGGUCUUUCCAGUGAUGCUCCAAGAAAGCCCCAGAGCCUCUUGGCCUCCACCCAAUCUCCUUCCCCAGGGAAGCCAGGAUUCGGCUGGAUUUCAGCGGCGGUAUCGGCCUAAACCGGGGGAAUGGGAAGAAGGCACUAUGGGCCAUCGUUUUACAGAAGAGGUUACUGAAGUUGGGAGAGGGUAAGUACCUUGCCUGGUGUCAGACCCAUAGUAAGUGACAGAGCUGGGAUGUAUGCCCAGGGAUGUGUGAUCCUAGAACCCACGGCCUUAGCUAAUGCUGCUCCAUUGCCCCUAUGUAAGGAUUUCUCUUUCAACAACACACUGUCUCAUUUCCUAGAAAUUCACAUGCUUUGUGCCAGGAUGCCUAACUCAAAUCGUCCUGCCUUGAAGAUAUUGAAAUGUGCAGAUAUAGAACUAUUUUCUUGGCACAGCUGUUUAACGCAAAACAGCUCUUGGGUCAUCAAAUAGAUGGCUCAGGCGGGGCUGUUAUCAAUAUCGAUCGGUUUCCUUGUUGACUUUUUUUUUUUUUGCUUUUAUUCAAUAGGAAGGUCAUUAAGAAUUACUAGGUGACCCUGGACGCUUGCUCCCUGCACACAGUUAGGAUGGAGUUUUGUGUGUUACUUCCUAAUUAAAUAAUUACAAGUAUAAUAACAUAUUACCACAUGAAGAUUUGGUUCCGGUGGUUUGGUCCAAUGGUGUAGGCCACGGAAUGGGGGAGAGAUUGAUUUCUUUUUUUAAGGUUUAAAAAACAUUUUUCCCCCUUCACCUUCUUUCCACCUUCUUAGCUGCAAGUGGUGCACCGUCAACGAAUUCAGGCCGGUCUUCAAUUCCUAAAAUGAUUUAAUUUCAGUGCUGGGAAGAGCAUGGCCACCAUCUAAAUCAGCAUCCCCGCUAUAGUUAGCUUUGUGGCACUAACAGCAAUAAUUCACUGCUGACAUUUAUAAUGUGUGAUAUAUUUCUCAUCAGGCUUUAUAAUAAUAAAAUUCUGUGGCUUUUAUAAAAUUAGAACAUAAAUACGUAAAUUUUCAAGCCUUGCAUCUAAGCUCAAUAAAUUGGAAUACGUGGAAAGUGAUCCUUGUCAGAACAUCACUUGUAUCUUGACGGGGAGAGGAAAGAAUGCUAUCAGGAGAACACCAGAAAUUUCCCCAGACCUAGAUGAUACCCACUGAUGCUUCGCACAUGGGAACAUGCUCCAUCAAGCAUGUCAUGAUGGAAAAUACAAUGUUUGGAGCCGCCACUCGUAUUCAAUCCCCUUAUUUAACAGAUGAGGAAACUAAAGCUCUGGAGGCUCAGGGGACUUGAUCAGGUUCUCCAGGUGGGUAGAGACCAUUCUGAAACAAAAAGUCACUGUUUUCCUGACGACACCGUGCAGUGGUGUUCAAAACACAUAUCAUUCGCUAAUUGAGCUCUGUACUCAUUUUCUAUUACUGCUGUAACAGAUUGCCACACAGGGGCCCCCGGGUGGCUCAACUGGUUAAGUGAAGGACUUCGGCUCAGGUCAUGAUCUCACGGUUCGUGAGUUCAAGCCCCAUGUCAGAUUCUGUGCUGACAGCUCAGAGCCUGUAACCUACUUCAGAUUCUGUGUCUCCCUCUCUGUCUGCCCCUCCCCCACUU
Molecule: long non-coding RNA, 2216 nt
Organism: Acinonyx jubatus (cheetah)
Lineage: Eukaryota; Metazoa; Chordata; Mammalia; Carnivora; Felidae
Exons: 6
Source: RefSeq, a predicted model, not a curated record